Molecule: ribosomal RNA, 396 nt
Filed under: uncultured bacterium
Lineage: Bacteria
Description: partial 16S ribosomal RNA
Rfam family: Bacterial small subunit ribosomal RNA
Source: RNAcentral
AUACGUAGGGGGCAAGCGUUAUCCGGAUUUACUGGGUGUAAAGGGAGCGUAGACGGCGAAGCAAGUCUGAAGUGAAAGGACGGGGCCCAACCCCGGAACUGCUUUGGAAACUGUUUGGCUGGAGUGCGGGAGGGGUAAGCGGAAUUCCUAGUGUAGCGGUGAAAUGCGUAGAUAUUAGGAGGAACACCGGUGGCGAAGGCGGCUUACUGGACCGUAACUGACGUUGAGGCUCGAAGGCGUGGGGAGCAAACAGGAUUAGAUACCCUGGUAGUCCACGCGGUAAACGAUGAUCACUAGGUGUCCGUGGGUAUGACCCAUGGGUGCCGCAGCCAACGCAAUAAGUGAUCCACCUGGGGAGUACGGUCGCAAGAAUGAAACUCAAAGGAAUUGACGGGG